Molecule: ribosomal RNA, 253 nt
Filed under: uncultured bacterium
Lineage: Bacteria
Description: partial 16S ribosomal RNA
Rfam family: Bacterial small subunit ribosomal RNA
Source: RNAcentral
UACGGUGGGGGCAAGCGUUGUUCGGAAUUACUGGGCGUAAAGGGCUCGUAGGCGGCCAACUAAGUCCGACGUGAAAUCCCCAGGCUUAACCUGGGAACUGCGUCGGAUACUGGUUGGCUUGAAUCCGGGAGAGGGAUGCGGAAUUCCAGGUGUAGCGGUGAAAUGCGUAGAUAUCCGGAGGAACACCGGUGGCGAAGGCGGCUUCCUGGACCGACACUGACGCUGAGGCGCGAAAGCGUGGGGAGCGAACAGG